Long non-coding RNA from Pongo abelii (Sumatran orangutan), 1615 nucleotides. Lineage: Eukaryota; Metazoa; Chordata; Mammalia; Primates; Hominidae. The record is from Ensembl.
UGGUCUAAAGGUUUUGGAGAGAAAGUGACUGCAUGUUGGCAAUGUAGUACACCAGUGUUUCAUGGUUUUUGAAAUCUGAAUUCUUUAAAUGAUAGGUUUGAUUUCUAAUGGAUUGUGGAAAUUUAUUGUCACUCUAUAGAUGUGAGAAUCUCUGAUACCAGCUAAUGUUUUCAUUUCUUUCUUUGUUGAUUUCAAAUAGAUCAGAGGUUGGAUUUAUGCAAACUUGGGCCAAAGGACAGUUAGAAGACAUAAGUCUUCAGUCCAGAGACCAAAUUGGCACAGGAGGACAAGUUGUGGACUGCAGUCGUUUAGUUGAUAAUGAUUUACCAGACAAGUAAGAGAUCUCCUGGAAGCCAGGAUCCUUUAAAAAUCCUGGAAUAGGGAGGAGCCAAGAUGGCCGAAUAGGAAGAGCUCCGUCCUACGGCUCCCAGCAUAAGCGACACAGAAGACGGGUGAUUUCUGCAUUUCCAUCUGAGGUUCUGGAGGAGGUCAAUGAAGUUCUGCUUGACCUCUAUGUCCAGGGAGUCCUUCAUCUCUGCCAGGUGCUUCAUGGACUCACUGGCAUCGAGCAGUGCGUCACUGAAGUUGGACUCGUUGCCCAGCUCCUCCUGGUGGCGGAUCAGGCCCUCGCUCAGGAACCCCUCCGACUGCGGGUAGCCGGGGUUCUUCACCUGGCCCCGGAUCUUGCACACCGUGUUGAGCAUGGUCAGCUUAGCCUGCGAGGCUGGGUUGGGCUGCAGGUACUUGAUGGUCCUUGCCAGCAUUUCCGUCACCGCCUUGCUGAUGACAUCUCCAUCUCUUUGAAGUCAUCGUCCAACUUGGUCCCGUCAGCCCCUCCGACCUUCUCACUGACCAGCUGGCUCGCCUUGUAGAACUGCUUCUUCAGCCCUGCAACCGACAUGCUGCCUCCCACCGCCGAACCUCCCGCCCGGACUCCACCAGCGACAGGCUCCCAGGUGCUGUGACCCUCUGCGUGCCUCAGAGGCCCCACCACGUGCUUGCCAGCUCUGCACCUGCCCUGGCACCACCUCGAGUUUAUGAUUCUUUAGUCUCCUUCAAUAUAGAUCUGUUCCCAGGAUUGUUUUAAAGUAUACUGACAAAACUUUGAGACUGUACAUGACCUGAGAUAUACAUUAUCCUUACUUGAGAAUAGUAAUUUUUCAAUACACAUUAAAGAUCAUUACACAUGAGCCAAGACAAAUGAGCUGGCCUACUUACUUUGUAUACAAAUGUGUAAACUCCUCAAGAGUUCCAAUAAUGAACUCCAAUAAGGAAAUUAGUUCAGUGUCUUUAUGUCCUUGGUGACAAAUGGUUACGGACAAUCAGAGCAUUUUUCCUAUCCACUAAUGGUCAAGAAAAAAGCAGACAGAUCCUCACUAUCUUAGAGAACUAAGUGAGAAAGUUGGUCGAUGAAGAGGACUUCAUCCAGAGAGGAAGGGAUCUAGCUCACAGGGAAGAUGCUGCAGGAGGCUGAGGAAAGUGAGGCCAGAGCAGUAAAACAGAUCUGACAACCUGGUGAAGAUAAGAAAGUGACCUGACAAAAAUGAACGGAGCAGAGUGCUAAAAAAUGAAGGGCCCUUUCCAUGCUAAUCUUGCAUGAUGCCCUCAACCAGCC